GAGUUCAAUGUCUUUACAUGUGAAAAAGUAAGCGAACCAGAAACGUUCAAAUAUUUUCAACGCAGUAGGUUCGUUAAAAUUGUGAAUACUUCGAAGUGAAAAUAUUGAAAUAGGAUAUAAAAAUAUUUUUUGAAACUUCGAAGAUUUUAGGACUUCCCUGCGUUGUAUUAAUUAACUGCAUAAGGACAAAUCUUAUUUAAUAUGGGUAAACAGAACGUGUGCUGAUUUGAAGGGGAUUUCAAAUGAAACAGCGAUUGAAAAAAUGAAAAAUGGUGAACCGGUUUACCGAGUAGUGUCCCUUUGAGGAGGUUUAAAUGCCGUGAACUGAGAUACAUACGGGGUUUAAUCGUGUUACUUGCGUUUCAUUCAGUUUCAUCAGUAAAUGGCACUUGGUCUGGUUGGAGCAGGUGGGGUUCCUGCAGUGAAACAUGUGGCGUAGGGAUACGUCUAAAAACAAGAAUCUGUGCAAAUUCUAACUCACUAAUACUUGGAAAACGCUGCAACGGGACGUCUGUAGAAGUUGGCCUCUGCAACAAACAUGCUUGUCCAGAUAACAUGAUAGCAUUUACGGCAUAUGGAAAAGCAAGCGGUACUAACAAGAAGAUUGUAUUCCCAAACGUGCUAUUGAAUUACGGCGGAGGUUAUAACAAUACCACGGGAAUAUUUACUUCUUCGACACCUGGAAUCUACCACUUCGCAGUUUCUUUGAUUAAAAAAUACAACAUGAAGGACUCUGUACUUCGUUGCUAUUUAAAUAUAAACAAUUCGAAAAAACUUAACAUUGAUGGACGCAAAGUAAUUGAUAACGAGAUGAUGGAGUUUUCAGCCACUGCAUCUGUUCAUCUUAACAAAAGUGACAUUGUUUACAUUUUAGACGAUUUGUUUGUACUUUUAGAUGCAAACAAUGAUAAAAGCAGUUCAUUUACAGGGGCCCUUGUCACCCCAGACAUAUAAUUUUCAAAAUGUUGUUUUUUUUCUAAACUUUGCGUUUCGCAGAAUGAAAAUGAGAAAAAUCUAAAAUAUUACACCUAAGCAAUAGAAGAAAUUUGUUAUUACAUGUUAUUUAAUAUAUGAUAUAUUAAUUGAAACAUGUGUAUUUCAAAAUCGUCAAAUGAAAUAAAAUAUGUCGACAAUCGGAUUACUUUUAGAAGUUUUAAGGAUCCGAGGGCGAGCAUCCUGCUAAAUUUUCUAUCACACUACUUCAUGUUUUGAUUGACAUCUGCCUCAUUUUCUCGUUCUGUAGUAAAUGGAUCGUUAGUAGUGCCUAACUUAAAAUAGAUAACGACCUGACGAGGCUGUUUAACCUAAAUAAUCUAGGUUUGGUUGUGCACAAAAUCUUAACAGAAUAAUAAAGACAAGGAGUCAGGUUCAGCAACCCGUUUUAUGGAUUGAUUUAAAAACAUGUUGUCGUAGCAAAGGGCUCUAACUUAUGUGUUCAGGCGGGCAUCUGAACGUAUGUUGAUUAAUGAAUGAAUGAAAGUAACUAACAGCGACCUCAUACUGUUGUUCCUGAUUGACUUAAGAAAUAUAUUUCAACUACAUUAUGAGUUAAAUCUUAAUAGUUCAUGGUCGUAUGAUGGUGGCUAAUGAGUACGACAGAAAUUAAGACGUCAAUGCAAUUCAACAGCUGGAACAAUAGUUGUUUCAACGGCAUCAAUGACUACCUCACAUAGAAAACAAUACGAUUAACUCGUACGUAUGUAUAGACAAAAUCUUCGAAAAACAUUUUUCAUUUUGCAGCCGGAUCGAUAACGGCAAAUCCAGUAACCAGUUUAAGACAUGACAUCAAUAUGACUAUGGUGCCUGUUUUUAAUUUUCUCGUUUGGCAGUUCCUUUAAAAUUUCAGUUUAUUUAGAUCUUCCCAUUGCUUUCUCGUUUAGGGCAAAUCCAUUAUGUUAACUGGGGACAAUACACCGCUUUUGAUGGAAUUACACGCUAGUGUAUCAUUGAAGGUUCCAUGUGCACCGCCGUUUGAACACAUAUGCAGACAUCUCUUAAUUGCAUUUUGUACUUGUACCGGGGCUAGAGGGCGUGGACGGUAGUAAUCAUUCAUUUCCACUACCGUCCAUGAACAGGCUCAAUCAAACUGAGCCUGCAACAUUUUCGGUCUUGUCGUGUUGAGCGACCUGUGGAGUUUCCACUGAAUCUAUUUCAAUGCGUCAUAGUAAUAUUGGACGAAAAUCAAAUUUCUUACAGCACAUGAUAUACAAAAUGUAGCAGAAAAAAUGAUCACCGAAUACGCCUCUCACGCAAUGACCUCGCGGACUGACAAAAUUGAUAAACGGUAAGAGUAGCUGAUUUCAAUUACUUCAACAACUGUUGGUUCAAAACAAAAAGACAAUAAAAUACUUAAUUUUUUUACAGUACAUGGAACUAACUCAAAUUCCUUUCCAACAUGUGUCUUAAAUAGUACAAAAAUUUACAUGUUUAUUAUUUCGAUGCACAGAUCAACAACUGUAUCAUAAGCACGCAUUCAAUGUUUUCAAACCCUUUAUCACAUACAUUACAAUAACCAUACCUUUGCAUAUUAUUUGGCCGCCUUCCGAGAUUAAUACGAAUUCUGUUGGAAAUUAAAUGAAGAAAACAUACCUAUUGAUACGUCCAAAAAUCAUAAAUAUGAUCCCUAAAAAUAAACAGUCACGCAAAUUACGUGCGAUUCAAUACAUUCACGGCUAUCCACGAAAAUUCAUCUUCUUUUAUCUAAGAGAGUAAACAGGAGUUGUCAGCGAGUAAUCACAUGUGUGUCUAUAUUGGGGAGACAGCAGUAAUUUUUGGUUUGGUAAGUUAAACUAAAUCAACAAAACAUACUAUAAAUUUCAAUGCAUAUUCUAUGCUACAAAAACGAGGUUUUAUUGAAGCAAAGCAAAUACCUGAUGUUCAUUUGUCAAAAACAAUAUUCGGUCAUGGCACAACAGGUUAAAUAUAAAAAUCGUGUAUUUAAAAACGGCGCGUGAAUUGUCUUCUUUUACAUGGUUUUUCAACCGUUGAUUCAAGCCCGAAUAUCUUCACGCCUGCAUUUAUCUCAGAGUUGAAUAAUAUCGGACUUGAAUCUACUACUUUUAAAAUGAUUACAGUAUCAAGGAUAACAAUCGGAAAUGAAUUUAUUAGCCGUAACUGUAACUAUAAGGUAAUAACCUUUAAUCUAAUGUCACAUAAUCUGUAAAGCUCAAAUGACAACAGUACACAUUGAACGUAUCGAACUCACGAAAGUAAAAUUAUUCUUACUAAUUUUUUCAACUUCGUUUAAUAAAUAUUUUCACUAUCUACGUGUACAUUUUAUUUAACGUGUGUGACGUCACUUGUGACACUGAAUUAAUCGAUAAAAUAUGCACUUGCAAAAUAACAUCCGAUGGCAGGAUAUAUAAUAAGAGCAUAUUUUAUUUAUUACAGUACCGCAAGAUGACGCUGUUUGCCGCGGAGAGACUAGCACUGUUGUGAUUUUCUAUUUUUAGUAUAUCUUACAGCAACUGUCACGGCUCAAUGAAUUUGCGGAAAAUAGUUAGCGUCGUUAGUAAGUUUAAUAACAUACGGGUAUCCAAUUUUCGUUCGAAUCUGGCCAAUUUUGGCAGAGAUAUGUACGGAAAAACAGUACUUUGGAAUGAGUAUAAAACAAAAGGCGGAUGUUUUGUAUUUGUGAAAUAAGAAUUCCGGUAUUAAUCUGAUUUUGAGAUACACAGUGAAACAGAGGACUAUAUCACUAAUCGAAUUUCCUGUUCCAUUAAAAGGAACAAGCGCAUUUCCAUUCAUUCACUAAACAUAGGAAAGAUGACCAAAGAGGUUCCGAUUGGGUUCCAGAUGAACAUCAGGCGGAUUCAGCAAUGCAAAGGGACCGGCACUGCACCUUACCAAGUCUUGAUUAUGUGACAGAAAGAUGCCGGGGUAUGAUGUCUUGCUGCGCAUCUAUAAGCUUUUGUAUAUUUGAACGUUUAAAUGAAUGUUUGCAAGUUCCAGGUUUCGGAAUUUUGCUAUUUUCUGUCGGCAUAACAGUUGGAAUUCUUUAUUACUUUGUCGCAAGUUUGGGAAGAAGCAUUAUAGGUGUCGCUCUGGUUGUGAAGUACUUUAAAGACGAUUACAAUGCGACAGAAAAUCAAAUUGGUAUUGCUUUUUUUCAUACAAUAAAGGGAUCUAUAGACCUUCUAACGGCAGUUUCUGUUGUAUGUAAAGUUCGUCAAAGACAUGUAUACAUAGUGUUGUGUACUGGAACUUUGCUUUGUUUAUUGUAUGGGUCAGUGGAAUUAUGGAGAGAAGUUCCAUGCGAUGAUGUCAGCUGUGAUAAAAAUGUUAAACGUGUGUCUAGUUAUUUUGCCAUAUUUGAUUGGUUUAUGUUUUUCUGUUUGAUUAUUCUUAUGUGCAGUCCGAGAGAAGAGUUAUAUGAUUAAAUGAAUUGUAACUCAGUUACGUUAAAAUAUAAUUCUAACAUGUUUCGAUUCGACUGCCGGUUAUUUAGUAAAUGAAAUAUAACUCAGUUACGUUAAAAUAUAAUUCUAACAUGUUUUGAUUCGACUGCUGGUUAAACGAGGAAGAAAUUCAAGCUCUGUAUAUUCUGCGAUAAACAACGGUUGAUGCGCGGACAUGUAAGAGAACAUUAUAACGUCAGUUAUUACGUCAGAUUGCUGCGUAACGUCCGGUUCUUUACUACUCAGAUGAAUGAAGACCAACAUAAAUUUCAUCAAAAUAUUUCAUCGAACAUGUAAGAAUGAAAAAAAAAAUCAAGACCUUCUUGUGAUUUGACGUUUAAUUUACCACGGUUCAUCGUUCAGAUUCUUAGGUAGCAAGGUACAUUUAGAUGCGAAAAUUUUGGGCACGGACGGUCUUACAUGUAGCGAGUCGCAAUAUUGCACUUCCCCUAUGGGCAAAAUUUGGGUGGCUAUUUUAUAACUUGCGUGCAUGUUUUGUACUUUAAAUUAAUGGCAAGAUCAGGAUUCUCAUACAAGAAUAAAGAAAGUUAUCAAAGCGAAAGAUUUACAUCAUCCAUUAAAAAUAGCGUGCCAAAAUCAUCAAUUUUGCACCUUUUGAACAGUCUACAAUGAUCCUGCUGCAAGAACACUGUCCAGUUUUAUUGCAUUUCUUAAUUUAAUAGUCCUUACUGAACGUCAGGACAUAAACGGAAUGGGGGCCCAGCCAGCUCGUUUUUUCGGAAAAUAACGAAAAUGUUCCUGAGUAUCAAUCAACAAGCACAGAACCCUUCCGUGAAUUGAACUUUUCCGCGAAAUGGUGUCUCAUUGAUCAUACAAAGCUACCAGCAGUUAGUAUUCCAACUGACAUCAGAAUUUUACAUGUAUCGGCUGUAUAAAUUUUCUAAAGAAUUAAUAAUCAUUAUCUCUCACCUUAAUUUACAGACAUCCAAAAUCACGAUGUUCUCUUUAUAACAAAUAUUGACGGGGGCCAAAAUUCGAAAGUGUACCCUGCUACCUUAGAUAUUAAACCGCUCGGGACUAACGCCCUCGUGGUUUAGUUCCUGUGUAUCUGAACUGUAAACCGUGAUAAAUUAGACGACAAUCUACUCGAAGGUAAAUGAACAGAAGAAUCGAAAAACACAAAAUUGUCUACUUUUAUCAGCACGCGAGAUACAUGUAAUAUGUCAUUUGCGUCUUUUAGUAUUCUAAUGUAGGGAUCAUUAUAGCUUUGUUUAAAAAGAAGUUGUUUGUUAUUAACAUACAUUAUAAUUAUGUCUCCCCAUACAUCGGAAAGAAAUAUUGAUUUGUGCAGUCUGUCAGUCAGUCUGUUUAUCUGUCCGUAUAAUUAUCACAAACGUUUUUUGGACUACUUUCCUGAAACUUCUGGUUGAAUUUCAACCGAACAAUUAAGCAUUGAAGAAAAGUUCGGUAUCAAGGCUAUUGUCGCAUAUCAUUGGUUUUUUCCGGUUGGCUGAAUUUUUUUUUGAGUUAUGGCACCUUUAAGGUAGUUUUAAUUGUAGUCAUUUUGGACUAUUUCUCCUAUAUUACAGCAUCAUUUCUUCAUCAGUUCUGUUUAUGUUUACACGGAAUAUGUGAAUUCCAUAAAACCUUUCUUUAUGAUUAUAAUAGGCCUGAUCAGAAUGGUAUGUUUAGAGUGUUUUCGCCCUUGAUUCAUCAAAAAUGCCGUAUUUCACCAUAUUUAUGCUUGAGCAGAUUCAUUUCGUAACCGAACAUAAUUAUUCUUAUACAGAAUAUGUAUACCAAUGAGAACUCUCUCAUAUUCGAAUAUGGGCCAGAUAAGAUUAGUAGAUUGCGAGUUAUGUGCCCUAGAAUUAUCAAGAAGAUGCUAUAUUUUACUGUUUUCAGUCUAUAUUACCUAACUUUCUCAGCGUCAUGUUUACACUUAUAAAAGCAAAUCAAGCCGGAGUACUGGUAUGGUCAGAGUUGUGUUGUCUAGAUUUAAUGAACAUGUGUAUUAACUUUUAUAAUGGAAUUAACUUUUAUAAUUUAUGCGUUGAAACACUUGUAUUAUUAAACACACAUAUACCAAACUUGGAAUGUUAAUUCAUGGGUGAGAAUGUUUUACGUAGGUUGGGUCUUUGUGUACUUGAUCUUGAUUUAAGAGCGAUUGUAAUUAGCCAAUGGGUCACAACAGUCCUCCUUUUUUGCCUUUGUUGAUUAAUUAUCCUGUAUCCAAUAUCUUGUUUACAUUUGUCAGAUUUCCUUUCUAUUUUCUCGGAAAUUAACUUGUGACACAAGCAUAGUACUGCUUAACAUUCAUGUUUGUCUUUCCUCCAACAUAUACCUUCGUGUUUAAAUUAAGCGGUAUGGAGAGAAAUUCCCUGUUUCCAUAGGCGAUCUUUAGUUUGAUUUUAUUUUCGAUUUCACCUAAUUUUCACCGCAUAUUUGUCAUAUGUUUAAUCUUUGAUUAACAUAGUUCACGCCUUGAAUCCUUUACUUUGUAUUACCUCCCUUUAUUGCUCUUGCAAUAUAUGGUUAUGUGCAGCAUUGAAAGUAGCGUUUUCCCAACCAUGUAGUUAUGAAUAUUCCCUAUUUUGACAGCUGUUUUAUCUGCUUUUUUUACAUUAAACGAUUUCGAAAAAUAAACGAUGAUUAAUACAUGA
This is an RNA transcript of Mercenaria mercenaria, 7021 nucleotides long. It is a transcript of the gene named semaphorin-5A-like, with no coding region annotated. NCBI's taxonomy places the organism in Eukaryota, Metazoa, Mollusca, Bivalvia, Venerida, Veneridae. The record is from RefSeq and is a predicted model, not a curated record. The transcript has 12 exons.